Molecule: long non-coding RNA, 256 nt
Filed under: Elaeis guineensis (African oil palm)
Lineage: Eukaryota; Viridiplantae; Streptophyta; Magnoliopsida; Arecales; Arecaceae
Description: long non-coding RNA (EGUI_LNC028675)
Source: RNAcentral
CCCUAGAAAUCAUCUAUAAAUAGAGAUCUAUCCUUCCUUUGAACAUCAUCAAAAUUUUUGAAGAAAUCCUACCAUUUUUCAUAGGAUUUCUUGAGAGUUUUGCUUAGGUUGUCGGUGGAGAAGAGAUUGUCAGAAUCCUUCUUUAGCUCCGCCAGACUAGGGUAGCCUCCUUCCCCUUAAUUCUCUUCUUUUUUUCUGAUCUUCUCCUCAUCGCCGACAUUUAGUUUGGAGCCGGCACCUUGUGAUACCCCCAACC